Molecule: small nucleolar RNA, 120 nt
Organism: Raphanus sativus (radish)
Lineage: Eukaryota; Viridiplantae; Streptophyta; Magnoliopsida; Brassicales; Brassicaceae
Product: small nucleolar RNA snoR127
Exons: 1
Source: RefSeq, a predicted model, not a curated record
CUGGAGUGAUGAUGCUUAGCCAAAUCAGAUAUGUGCUCCAAGAGGGCAUAAAAAUGGGAUUGCCUCUUGUUGUAGCGCGUCUCAGACGAUAUCACAGAGAAUGGUUGUUGUCUGACCAGA